RNAcentral lists this long non-coding RNA (1324 nucleotides) under Pogona vitticeps (central bearded dragon). Its description in RNAcentral is "lncRNA (ENSPVIG00000024492.1)". Lineage: Eukaryota; Metazoa; Chordata; Lepidosauria; Squamata; Agamidae. The record is from RNAcentral.
GGAGGAAGGAAGAGGUGCGGUGGGCGGUGUGUGAGUGAGGGGAUGGGGGGCGUGAGGCUCGUCUUCUUUCUCCCGACGGCAAAGCGAUUCGGGGCCAAGAUUGGGGGGGNNNNNNNNNNNNNNNNNNNNNNNNNNNNNNNNNNNNNNNNNNNNUCGCGGCUGAGUCAGGCGGGAGGCUCGCCGCAGCCGCCCCCACCUCCCCGACCGUCCCCAUUUGCUCGCCCCCGCUCGCGAGCAGGUGGCAAAAGCUCAGCGAGAUACGCGAGAAAACGGCGCAGCGCCGGGGCUGGGUGGAGAGACUGGAGGUACUAACGCACACAGUUACUCACCUGUGAAGCAAAUAGGGAGGGGGGGUGAGCGCGGACGUGAGUGGGAACACGCAACCACACAGAGACAUACACCGAUACAGAGUGGGCGGCUGCUGCAGGCGGGAGGGGGAGCGCCGGGCCUGGGAGACAUGGCUUUAUUUCGGUGUUACUCAUUUUAAAAGCGCCUCGACUGAGCGCGGGGUCCUGGAGAAGCUCAGAGAGAGAGAGAGAGGCAGGCGAAGCGGGUUAUGAAUGGAAGGGAAGGUAAUGAAUGAAUGAAUGAAGGGAAGAGGCGAGGAGAAUCCGGAUCAGCAGCGCGCGCACUCCCCUCACCCCCCCCACACACACACACACUGCGCGCGCUCCCCGCUGUGUUCCAAACGUGUCUCGUUCUGGGAGAUCAAAGGCGAAAAGGAGGCGAGGGUGGAUCCGUCUUCGGGGAGAGGAAAAAAACAGUGAAUGGAGCAGAAGCAAUAGCCAUUUUAAAAAAAAAGUUUUCUUCUUGUUCUAGGCCUCGCCAGGCCCAGGGAACGGCAGCGUGCAGGAAAGGGCAGCAGGCACCCCACAUUCACCGAGGCACGUUGUUUGCAUAAAAUAUUCAGCAGAUCCAGCGCUGAUGGCGGAGGGGGUGUGCGGGUGCGGUGGAGUGGGGGGAGAGAGCAUUGUAUCCUGUUUUAUUUUUGUAAAGAGCCUUUGACGGAUAGCUCCCGUCACAACCACCUAACCAGAUCGGCUCAGAAUAGCAACACUUAGCACAUGCAUAAUGUCUUUGGAUCUUCAAGGCACUUUUACGGGUUUUUUGUUUUCUCUCUCUGUGUGUGUUUUUAAACUAAACAUGAAUGGAUGAAAUCUUUGUGGAAGAAAGGAGAAAAUCCAACAUUGUGAAACAAGGAGAUAACGGUUUUAAUAUAGCCCUCCUUUAUGUGUGGUCUGUGCUGGUUUUGUAGCCUGCAGGUGAAUGGCCCUUCGAAAAGGGGGUAGAAGAAUAAAGGGUAGGACUGAUGCCCUUGCUUACA